Molecule: long non-coding RNA, 1526 nt
Organism: Mustela lutreola (European mink)
Lineage: Eukaryota; Metazoa; Chordata; Mammalia; Carnivora; Mustelidae
Exons: 5
Source: RefSeq, a predicted model, not a curated record
CUGCCCUCUGCAACGCGGCACCAGCCUGGGACGAGAGCAUCAGGCCUGGAGACUGGGGGGAAGCCCGGGGGGUCCCGGGCCGGAAAGACAUCGUAAAAGGGAUUUAAGAAAUCCCAUUGGAUGGUUUCCGAGGGCCGGGGCGCUGCGGAUCGCAUCACCGACACAAGCAAACGUCCCUGUGUGGGAAGUGGCUGCGUGGCGGCGGCUACCAGAAAGGUCCUCGAGGACUGGCCCUCCGUGGCAGUGAAUGCUCACUCCCUCUCCUGCCUUCCACCGCCACAAGGAGACCUGCCCACCCACUGGUGGAUCAUGAUGAGGAUGCAGGAGAGUAUAUAGUAUAUAAAUACCUUUAUCAGGUUCUGUGCCACCACACUGACGGAAUUUAAAGAAAUUCAAGAUUUGGGGGUUGGCUCUUGUGAAGGAUAAUUUAGCCAACAUCCACCCCAACCCCCAGCAAUGAGCAUCCCAUCUGACUGUGUCAUCCCCAAACUGUUAAGGUAGGAUCGACCAUAAUUACAUACUAAACGCACGCCCAUCCCUGCCUUCAGAGAGCUCUCUAUCAAAGAAGUGGUUGAGUUCUUGGGAACUCAAAAAAGAGAGAAGAGCCUGGGCCAAGGCACAGCUGGGUGAGCCCAGGUGCACGGAGGGUGAGGAGGAGGUCGCUGUGGUGAAUGACUGUGCAGGAUAAGGGGUGGCAGAAGCCGGGCGAAAAAGGAAGAUUAUGUUCCAAUUACGAUAACUCUUAGGCUCUAAGAAUUUGGAUUUUAUCCAGUAAGCAGCAGGAAGGAAUCAAUGGACAUUUUUGUCAAGAGAUAUUACCCGUUCAUUUUUUUAGAAGGGGGAAAAAAAAAAAAAAGUUCUGGGGGAAGAGAGGAAAGCUGUUGCACACACCAGAACAAGAGAUGAUGUGACCUAGUUUAAGGCAGUAGGAGUGUGUGAAUGGAAAGGAGAGGCCUGAUUUCGGUUAACAUUUCUGAGGCAAAGGGAUGGUGGUACUUAGCAUUCUAUUGAUAAGGUGGAGGGUAGAGAAGGGUUUAAAGGAGAUGGGUAACGGCUUCCGCAACCAAAAGAGGACAGGAAGAACAGUUGUUGCCAAAGAGCAUCCAAAUUUUAUUUUCAUUGCAAUGAAUCUGAAAUACUUAAGGAUCCUCCAAGACAAGAUGCCUGUAGAUAGUUGAAAACUGGCUUGAUAAAGUGGAGUCAGGGCUGAAGAAAAGAUAUUUGGGGACAAUUAAGAGUCACUGGGUGGGGAGGGGCAUCUGGGUGGCUCAGCCAGUUAAGUGUCUGCCUCUCAGGGUCCUGGGAUCCAUCCUGCAUUGAGCUCCCCGCUCAGCAAGGAGUCUGCUUCUCCCCCUGCCUCUCCCUGGAACUCAUGCUCUCUCUGACUCUCAAAUAAAUAAAUAAAAUCUUAAAAAAAAAAAAAAAAAGAGUUUGGACUCACCUACAGACAGUGCAGGAUGAACAGAGCUGGGAUGGGGAGAAGGGACACCCUUUAUUGAAUCAGAUAAGAAACUAAUUAAAAAGAA